UGUAAUCAUACAGUAUUCUGUAAACAUAAAUGUUGCACAUUUAAAACUGGUCUUAUUUAAUAAUAUGUGUAAUAUCUAAUCGUGUAUGCAAGUUAAAUUGCAUUCAAAGGACUCAUUCAUCUCGUGUAACGUAAUGUAAUGUGAAAAAGGCACCAGUUAACACGAAACACCUGCAGACGGGUACAUGGCUGACCGGGAGCAGCUAGCAGCUAGCAGCCGGAGUACGAAGAUGAUAGCCGGGGUCUACCUCCCUCGUCAUCCCGGAGGGAAAGCGAUCCGAUGAACGGACCUGCAGCUCUUUGAACCACUUUGGAUAUUUAAUGAAAUUUUGUCCGACGUUUUCGGAGAUGUGGGAUCCACAGACCGGGAGCAGCUGCUUAUAAGCAGCCGGACUAUGGACAUGAUCACCGGCUCGGUGAACCUCCGCCAUCAUCCCGGGGACAAAACGAUCUAAUGAACUGGCCUGAAAUUUACCGCUGGGUAAUAUAAUCCCUUUUGGAAGAUAAAUGUUGGUUUCACAGAUGAAAUUAACAACUGCAGCCGCAACAUUAGUUUUUCUGAAUGUAAAAUGAAGCUUCAUGUUUUUACUGGACUGAACAACAGCGUUUCCUCUGGGGCUGCAACAUGUUAUAAGUAUAUAUAACACAAUCUAAAUAAAUAUAAAUGUAUUUAAAUAAACAGAUCAGUCUAUAUUGAAUUUCGUUUUAUGUUAUUAAGUAAGACAUAAGUUUGGGGUUUUAUUAUAUCUACAUUACAGAAUGAAUAACAUCAUUUAGUGUAUCUCUCCGAUCGUGAGGUUAUUUUUUAUGAGGAAAAAAAGGUGUCAGUGGAGCAGUAAAAUCGCCAUUAAGGUACACCCAGUAUGCCUUGUGAUUGCGUGAUCAACAUGCGUUAUCGUGAUAGGGGAUAUAAUUCUAAUCUCUAUCGUAGGCCAUUUUUUUAUCGUUUAUAUCGUAUGUCGUUUAUAUCGCGCAUUCCUACACCAGACAGCUAGUAAAUACAACUCCGAUAAAAGAUUAUUUCACUAACAUCUCCUAGCUGUCAACACUAACUGACCAGGUCCUACUUGGUUAACAGUCGUGACGCCCAAAUCUUACCUAUCUUCCACUCAACAACUGCAGUGUGAGUAAGAGACCAAAGCUAAUCCUGUGUGCGCCUGCUCUUACCAAGCUGAAAGCUAUUCAGCAUCACCACAUGUGGAAGCCUCAAAUUCUGCAAAACCACAACAAAAGGAUGGAGGACUGUGGUCCACAUUUUACAGAAGAACAAUAAAAGGACAGUCCAGCCUCCCAUCUGCUCGCUGUCUCUACGCAAGACUGUAUAUGUGAGGGAGAAAGAAGAGGAAGAGAGGGAAAGACACAGAGCGAGGGAUAUAAAGUUUCUGUGUGUCUCGCAGACAGACCGACACACACCUUCUUUUGUCAGGGGCACACUAAAAGCCGGAGAGAAGAGGCUGUGUUUAGACAGUCGGAGAACAUCUUCAAUCACCAGCUCAACAGCAGGAGAGGCCGCUUUUAAACAGUAUGUCAAUGGAGAAUUCCUGAAACUGGGAUGAGAUAGCUGUGGGUCAAGGCCCAGUUAUGACACUAACAGGCUGUUCAGUCAUAGAGUGACUACGUUACUGGUGUAUAUUAGCAGGCAAUGGAGGUAUUUAGCUUCCUGGUGCUGGCUGCAUGUGAAUUGAACUGGUAGUGAAAGGGGUUUCAUCCUCUUAUGUCAACAAGUUGUUUGUUUUUGUUCCUCCUGAAUAAAAAUGAAAUGAAAGGUA
Molecule: long non-coding RNA, 1768 nt
Organism: Seriola aureovittata
Lineage: Eukaryota; Metazoa; Chordata; Actinopteri; Carangiformes; Carangidae
Exons: 2
Source: RefSeq, a predicted model, not a curated record